RNAcentral lists this ribosomal RNA (507 nucleotides) under Pseudoleosthenes irregularis. RNAcentral's name for it is "partial large subunit ribosomal RNA". Lineage: Eukaryota; Metazoa; Arthropoda; Insecta; Phasmatodea; Damasippoididae. The record is from RNAcentral.
AUCCUGAAUUCGAAAGGGUUUGGAUUCAGGCCCGUCCGGAUUUCUGGGCCGCUUCUUCCUACCAGAUGGCGCUGGUCGCCCGCGGCGAUUUAUUUCGCUUGUGGUGUCGUUCCYGGCGAUCACUCGGUGGGGUUGCGCUUGCCUGAUUCUGGAGAGCCGCACUUCCUCCCUAGUAGAAACGUUGCGACCCGUUGGGUGCUGGUCUAAGGCCCGGGACGGCAGACCGUGUGACUGAUAGCUGAUGCCGAAGUCGCGCGGACGCCUGGUGACCCGGCUGGCUGCCCGACGGUAUGACCAGAGGAGACUAUCCGCUAAUAGAGAAACACUGUGGUUGUGAAGCGUCCGGCCUGGCGCCGUCAUGUGUGGGGAGUAAGGUGCAAACCCCGGGGUGUCCCGUGCUAUGCACGGCCCCUGCCCUGCUGCGUUGUCGGUUGUUGGUGAUUCGGACAGGAUUAGCACUCCCGUCUGCGACGCCCAUCUUCGGAUGGUCUCCCGACCCGUCUUGAA